CAGCCCGUAGUGUAGUGGCCGGCACGCGACGCUGUGAACGUCGAAGUGGCGGGUUCAAAUCCCCCCGGGUUGC
RNAcentral lists this transfer RNA (73 nucleotides) under Fimbriiglobus ruber. It matches the Rfam family "tRNA". From Rfam's summary of the family: Transfer RNA (tRNA) molecules are approximately 80 nucleotides in length. Lineage: Bacteria; Pseudomonadati; Planctomycetota; Planctomycetia; Gemmatales; Gemmataceae. The record is from Rfam by way of RNAcentral.